UCAUAGCUCUGAAAGGUGAAGUACAUGAAGAUAUUUAUUACACCUUCCUUCUAUUGCAUUGCUCCUAUAGGCUUCUUUGUGGUUCAAAGCAACGAGAUUCAAACUUAGACACUGCCCAAUUCAUGCUCAACGAUUUUGUAGAAAACUUCCCUAUUUUGUUUGGUGAAAACAGUGUUUCUUAUAACGUUCACGGUCUUCUGCACUUAAAGGAAACCGUAAAUUAUGUAAGGGACCCGAUUUCUGGAUUUUGCUACUACACUUAUGUUAAAGGUAAUAAAUGUCUUUUCAAGGGAUCUGUCCCCUCUAGGUCCCAAUCAAACAAUUUUUGUUAUAUGAAAGGCAAUUUAGGAAAUAACAGAUGAUUCACUGAUAGGUAGAAAAUAUGUUAAAACAAACAGUUUCUAUGAGAUGCCGUUUGUUUCUAGUUUCUGGAGCUGAUAUUGCAAAAUUUUCUUUGUAAGAUGUAAGAAUGUAAGGCUUUCGCAAUUCUCUUUGAAGGCAAACAUAUUGUAAUACCAAUGCUAAAUUUUUAUUAGAAACUAAUAAUAAUAAAAUAAAAAAUAUUAAUAAAAAUUAAAAAAAAAUAAUAGUAAUUAAAUAAAAAAAUAAGGACAAUAUGGCCCAAAAACAUUAAAAAGACUUGCUACAGUGAGGUAUCUACCGAAAAGGCUCGUAAAUGCAAAGAUAAGGAAGAUUUAAAGGCUUUCUUUGAAAGUAUAGUAUAAGCUACUAACAAGUAUAUCCGUGUUUUAAUUUAUAUCUAUUUUGUAUUACUAGAACUGCUGGAAAGAAAAAUAAGUCAAAUUUUAGAAGAAAUAGUGCAGCAGAAAGUGCUAAUACAGCAGCUUCUAAGAGAGCGCAUCAACGACUCCUCGGCGAUAAUUCACAAAUUUCCUAUUAAAAGCAAGGAAGAUUUGGUCCAAAUUAAUGAAGAAAUAGAAGUUACCAGGAAGAGGAAGUUAAAUGUAUGACUUAUAACUUCUCCAAGGUUCUGGGGUGGUGAAAAACCUAAAAAAUAUCUUAACUUGCGAAUUCGCGAUGCAGUACAAUAUUCAUGGGGUUUUGGGCAAAGAUUGGCACCAUUCGCUAAACCAUUUCUUCGAUGCCCUUAUUGAAUCCAUUCCAACCGGGAUUGACAAGGGAUCGCCAGAGAAUCAACUGCGACAAGCCCUUCAGCGUAAAAAAAAAAAGAUUAAUAAAAACAGAUUACUUAAUAAAUAAGAAAAAUAAAUAAUAAAUAAAAUAGAAUGUAAGAUAAUUUUAUUAUAAUAUUAGGAAAUAAGGAAUUAGAUUAAAAAUUACAUAUAAAUGAAUUUAAUAAAUAUAUUUCUCUAUAUUUAAUAAACAUUUGAUUUAUUUUAGAUUAACGAAACCACUAGCAAUUUGGAAUUAGUCAAAUCACUAGCUACAAGUAUUAUGCAUUACCCACUAGUGAUUCCGUAUAAGCGAUUUACUAAAGAAUUUGGGACGAGUCAUUUCAUCAAUGACUGGUAAUGCAGCAUCACACUGCUCGAUUACUCUCGUAGAAAAUUGCAAUGUACAAAUCAGAGAGCUGCAACGAUCAAAAUUUUUUCAAUCAUACCCGAUCAUUGACUCAGAUUUUUUGUGACGGAAAACUUUGCUUCAACAAAAAUUAAUGAUCGUAAGCGAGCGUGCUCAAAGCGAACAAUCAGUUUCAAUCACUGUUGCUUGUUUCGUAAUGAUUUUUCUCGAUCGAACGCCUUGUGUGAGCAGCAAAGAAUGUUCGAGAAUGCUGCUUGCAUUCCGAUCGAUCACAAUCAUACCGUUUGGUCAUACCGGGUGGUUCCUGCCAGCAGCGCAGUCGCUGAGCGUUCUUUUUCUUUUUUAUUUAUUUUAUUAUAACUGAAAAAAGAAAUAGGCUCGGACCAUGUUUAGUUGAUAAUUUAUUGUUUUUAAAUUCAUUUUUUUUUAAGUUUUAGCGAUUAAGAAACCAAGUUUAUUUUUAUUAUUUAUUUUAAUUUUAAGUUUUUGUUGAUCUCAAUGAAGAAGUGAUAAAAAUUUGAAAUUUGUGUUCCCUAAUAUUUUACCUUUUGUUUCCGUUAAAACACACAAAUAUGUACAUACAAACUAUGCACAUACAUAUUUGCAGGGCAAUUAUCGAUCUGAUUGGUUCAAUCACAAUCAAUUCAAACGCACACUGGAUCGAUGUCUGAGUUUUCGUGCAUCGUUGGACUUGAUCGUAUUUUUCUGUACAAUCAUUUCCAAUCAUCAUACCGGAACCAACCAAUCAGUUUCAAUCAGUAAGCAGAGCAAUCAAAUCAACUGAUCGAACUCCUUCGCUUUGAGCACGAAGCUCGAUCGAACAAUUUUGUAGUGAACCGAUGUGCUGAGUUUAACCGUUUUGAGCGUGGCUGAUCAAACCGGAUCGAUCAUACUCAAUGCAGGUCUCUGGUACAAAUCGUUAGUCAAAUAACAUUACGGGUAAUCGGGCUGGAAUCGGUCCAAAUGAUUAAGAAUUAGUCAUAUCGCUAGCUCUUCUCUGAUGGUACCGAACUUCAGGGUAGUUUAAAAAAUGAUGUACUAUAUACAUAUGUAUAUAAGCAAUUAAAAUACUGGAAUAAAAUUAGAUAUUCAUUCUAAUAAAUAUUCAUAAUAAAAAUCCUGCUAAAAAUUCAGGUACUACUUACAUUUUGUCUUUCGAGCUUAAAUAAAGAACCUUGCCAAAAUUAAAAAGUCCUGUAUUAAUAAAAUAGGCAAUAUACAACAAUGAAACAAUACAGCAAUCUUUACAAAACAGACAAUAGAAAAAAAGUCAUGUCAUUGGCGGAUUUAUCCGAAAAGGUGUUGUACACAUCCAACACUCUUUCGACAAACGCAUUGAGAAAAAUCUCCAAAUUCAAGAGAAAAAUGUAAUGUCUCAGAGAAGUAACGGAUAAUCUCAACUAAGUAAUAACAAUAAAAAGUGAUCAUAUAAAACUUUUGAAAACUGUGUUUCUUUUCAUUGUUUUCUUGAAGUUGAAAAGUUGUACUUUGAAAUAACGACGGAGUAUUUCGAGAAGGAGAGUCCGAAAUUACUUAUACCUCAUACAAAUAAUUAUAUGUGUAUAAUUAGGUUUCUUGUUUUUUCGCCAUAUUUGAAAAAAUAUCCCGCUUCUGAAAUUGAGCACCUCUUUGGUGAUAUGUUGUUGUUGUGAAUUGACCAAAAUUUUUGCUUUCUCGUCUCAUUCGUUGUACCGUAGCUUUCAAAUUGUACGUGAGCUUUUAGUGCUGCGUAGUAAAUAAUUAUAUGUGCACAUCAGUUCGAAAU
Long non-coding RNA from Bactrocera dorsalis (oriental fruit fly), 3268 nucleotides. RefSeq lists it as uncharacterized. Lineage: Eukaryota; Metazoa; Arthropoda; Insecta; Diptera; Tephritidae. The record is from RefSeq and is a predicted model, not a curated record. The transcript has 3 exons.